UCUAGUACAGACCACCGUGUAUCGCACCCUCCUGUAAUGGGGCGGGGGUUAUGGCUUCUUGCUCCGAACCCUUUGCCUUUUAUUUGUCGGGGUGCGGGCGGAAAUGAAAGUCAACUGAGAAUCCGAGGCCUGAAGCCUGGGAGACGAGUGUCAAGUCUCUGACUGAUUCUCUCAGUACAGGCCGGGCACGGAGCGGUGAAGCCUGGCCUGCAGCUGGGGAAGAUAACGGUCGCUCGGCAGCGGCUCGUGAAAGCCGCUCGUGGCUGUUGGUGGAGGGGGCGGACGGGGGAGGGGAACGGAACAGAAGGCGAGCUGUCUCCUCCUACCCCCCGGGCCGAGGGUAGAUGGGACAUUUCUUGGACGUUGAUGUCAGAGCUCCAGUGGCGCAAUCGGUUAGCGCGCGGUACUUAUAUGACAGUACAGAGUGAGCCAUGCCGAGGUUGUGAGUUCGAGCCUCACCUGGAGCACAUGUUUUACAGGCAACCAGAAAGAGAAAUAAAAA
Molecule: long non-coding RNA, 502 nt
Organism: Rhincodon typus (whale shark)
Lineage: Eukaryota; Metazoa; Chordata; Chondrichthyes; Orectolobiformes; Rhincodontidae
Exons: 2
Source: RefSeq, a predicted model, not a curated record